GACAGAGGGUGCAAGCGUUGCUCGGAAUCACUGGGCGUAAAGGGCGCGCAGGCGGCUCGGCACGUCCGUUGUGAAAUCGCCCGGCUCAACUGGGGGGGUCAGCGGAUACGGUCGAGCUUGAGCAAGCUAGGGGGCAAUGGAAUUCCCGGUGUAGUGGUGGAAUGCGUAGAUAUCGGGAGGAACACCAGUGGCGAAGGCGGCUCUCUGGGACGGUACUGACGCUGAGACGCGAAAGCGUGGGGAGCGAACAGG
Molecule: ribosomal RNA, 252 nt
Filed under: uncultured bacterium
Lineage: Bacteria
Description: partial 16S ribosomal RNA
Rfam family: Bacterial small subunit ribosomal RNA
Source: RNAcentral